This 451-nucleotide unclassified non-coding RNA is filed under the name Homo sapiens (human). RNAcentral describes it as "MUC20 overlapping transcript (ENSG00000281603.2)". Lineage: Eukaryota; Metazoa; Chordata; Mammalia; Primates; Hominidae. The record is from RNAcentral.
CACCGCUGCAAGAGGGGAAGUUGCUACUGUGAUGAAUUCUGCCAUGUGGCACCAGACUGCCACCCAGACCACAGUGUCCUCUGCAACCCUGCUUCUCAGAUGACCAAGAUGGUGCUGCAGAUGGUGCUGAGGAUGGAGAACCCACCAAGCCCCGCUAGGAGCCACCUAGACUGGAUGCAGAGCAUGGCUAAAACCUUUGAAGAAGAAUUUAUUAUAUCCUACAAACCUGGGAGGCAGAGGUUGCAGUGAGCCAAGAUUGGGCCAUCGCACUCCAGCCUGGGCAAUAAGAAUGAAACUCUGUCUCAAAAAAAACAAAAGUUGGCCAGGGCUGGGCGUGGUGGCUCACACCUGUAAUCCCAGCACUUUGGGGGGCUAAAGCAGGUGGAUCACCUGAGGUCAGAAGUACGAGACCAUCAUGGCUAAUAUGGUGAAACCCCAUCUCUAGUCAAAG